Molecule: long non-coding RNA, 189 nt
Organism: Octopus sinensis (East Asian common octopus)
Lineage: Eukaryota; Metazoa; Mollusca; Cephalopoda; Octopoda; Octopodidae
Exons: 2
Source: RefSeq, a predicted model, not a curated record
UAUAUAUAUAUGCGUGUGUGUGUUUGUGUUUGACAACCGAUGCUGGUGUGUUUAUGUCCCCGUUACUUAGCGGUUCGGCAAAAGAGACCGAUAGAAUAAGUACUGGGCUUACAAAGAAUAAGUCCUGGAAUCCAUCUCUUCAACUAAAGGUGGCACUUCAAUAUGGUCGCAGUCAAAUGACUGAAACAA